RNAcentral lists this ribosomal RNA (408 nucleotides) under uncultured Sediminicola sp. RNAcentral describes it as "bacterial SSU rRNA". It matches the Rfam family "Bacterial small subunit ribosomal RNA", at positions 502 to 915 of the family's 1533-position model. Lineage: Bacteria; Pseudomonadati; Bacteroidota; Flavobacteriia; Flavobacteriales; Flavobacteriaceae. The record is from RNAcentral.
UCCGUGCCAGCAGCCGCGGUAAUACGGAGGAUCCAAGCGUUAUCCGGAAUCAUUGGGUUUAAAGGGUCCGCAGGCGGCCUGUUAAGUCAGAGGUGAAAUCCUACAGCUCAACUGUACAACUGCCUUUGAUACUGAUAGGCUUGAGUUAUUGUGAAGUGGUUAGAAUGUGUGGUGUAGCGGUGAAAUGCUUAGAUAUCACACAGAAUACCCAUUGCGAAGGCAGAUCACUAACAAUAUACUGACGCUCAUGUACGAAAGCGUGGGGAGCGAACGGGAUUAGAUACCCCGGUAGCCACGCCGUAAACGAUGGAUACUAACUGUUCGACCUUCGGUUGAGUGGUCAAGCGAAAGUGAUAAGUAUCCCACCUGGGGAGUACGCUCGCAAGAGUGAAACUCAAUGAAUUGACG